GAGAACAAAUGUACAAAAUGCUCAAAGAGCUUUAUUUAAACAGAAAUGGAGAUAGCUUAUUAAAGCUUUAUUGAACAAGAAAGUAAAGAGAAGAAGGAAGCUGAGAUUGUCUGCAAGAGUUAAAUGUUUAUAAAACUGAUAUUCAUAAAGAUGAGAGUUUGGCUGCUAGAAACGCAGCCUUGGUUACAUUGCAAAGUGACCUUACACAGAUAUUUAUAUCAACUCAAUAUGCUAGAAAACCUAGAUACAAUGAGCUUAGGUAAUGGGCUUCCGGUCUUUAUUUGGGCCUUGCUAAUACUCCCCCGCAAACUUAGCGUGGAUGGAGCAGCUACGCUGAGUUUGAAGGCACAGAUGGAGAUGGCUUUAGAUGAGCAUAAGUAGAUGAAGUAGGAUGCUUGAGAUGUUGGCAAAUGGUUCUACUCACCAUUGUAGACAAACAUUAGUGUGAGAUCUAUUCAGACCUAUACUUGGAGAGUAUCACAUGGCUUCACUCAGAGGUUUCUCUUGAACUUGGAGAGCUUAGUUGAUCUCACUCAGAGGUAUAAUUGUGGCCUAUUUGUCUCACUAUGAAUCUAGGUUUACUUAAACCAUUUCAUUCUUCUAAUCUGUCUCAUGAAGAACUCUCUUUCCACACCUACCAAAUACAACUAUACUCACUCUCUGCUUCAUUAUCACUAGUCACUAUCAUCUUUUAUCUCUCUGUGACAUUGUACCAAACACUUGGUGCGCAUCAAAAACAGAGACUUUCUUCCAUAAACCCUUUUUUUUUUUUUUUUUUUUUUUUUACAGAAAAUCAAACCUAGCGUAAGCAUUCUAUUCCAGAUUCCAAGCCUAUAAUCUAAACCAGCCAGCAUAAAUCACCAAACGACCACACAUGCAUCACUUCUCCUUAAUCUACCAAACGACCAUUCACUUGUUCUGUCUCAGGAAGAAGGACAGAUACAUACCAUUGAUAAACAUAUUUGUGUGAUGACUUCCUCCUUCAGUUCACGUGUGAUUUCGUCGUUGAUUACGGUUUCAUCACGGUUCGUACAGAGGAACGCUUUCGUAGCCGCUGAGUUUUGUCCAUGGAGUCCGACAUAAGCGGGUUGGGUUUGAAGACAUGACUGUUUCUUUCUCACGUUGUAUCUCUGGCCCAUCUGGCCCAAUACCCUUUCUUCUUCAUACAGACAUCUCGUAGGAAGCAAACGAAAGUCUUGGAAGACUUAAUGGCUCCAUAGAGGUCUUGUAGAUAGUCUGAAGCUCAAGUAGAAGAUAUAACACCAAGAUCUACUCCCUGAUGCUCUGAUACCAUGAGAACAAAUGUACAAAAUGCUCAAAGAGCUUUAUUUAAACAGAAAUGGAGAUAGCUUAUUAAAGCUUUAUUGAACAAGAAAGUAAAGAGAAGAAGGAAGCUGAGAUUGUCUGCAAGAGUUAAAUGUUUAUAAAACUGAUAUUCAUAAAGAUGAGAGUUUGGCUGCUAGAAACGCAGCCUUGGUUACAUUGCAAAGUGACCUUACACAGAUAUUUAUAUCAACUCAAUAUGCUAGAAAACCUAGAUACAAUGAGCUUAGGUAAUGGGCUUGCGGUCUUUAUUUGGGCCUUGCUAAUA
This 1591-nucleotide long non-coding RNA is filed under the name Brassica rapa (field mustard). RNAcentral's name for it is "long non-coding RNA (BRAP_LNC005851)". The record is from RNAcentral. Lineage: Eukaryota; Viridiplantae; Streptophyta; Magnoliopsida; Brassicales; Brassicaceae.